CCUUGACGGGCGAGUUUUCACGUUUGGGCGAACUCCAGUAUGUAGGCGAGUUUUAACCCUUCGUUCGAACGGGCGGGUUCGCGAGGUGUCGCCUACUUCUUCGCCUUUAUGUUUAUCCGCCAAAGGGCUAUGGCGAGGCUCGCCAGCCCUUGGGGAUUCGCCUAUUCGGGUAGGCUCGCUCGCUCAGGGU
RNAcentral lists this microRNA precursor (190 nucleotides) under Asparagus officinalis (garden asparagus). RNAcentral's name for it is "miR12161 stem-loop (aof-MIR12161)". The record is from miRBase by way of RNAcentral. Lineage: Eukaryota; Viridiplantae; Streptophyta; Magnoliopsida; Asparagales; Asparagaceae.